UACGUAGGGUGCGAGCGUUGUCCGGAAUUAUUGGGCGUAAAGGGCUCGUAGGCGGUCUGUCGCGUCGGGAGUGAAAACUCAGGGCUUAACCCUGAGCCUGCUUUCGAUACGGGCAGACUAGAGGUAUGCAGGGGAGAACGGAAUUCCUGGUGUAGCGGUGGAAUGCGCAGAUAUCAGGAGGAACACCGGUGGCGAAGGCGGUUCUCUGGGCAUUACCUGACGCUGAGGAGCGAAAGUGUGGGGAGCGAUCAGG
This 253-nucleotide ribosomal RNA is filed under the name uncultured bacterium. Its description in RNAcentral is "partial 16S ribosomal RNA". It matches the Rfam family "Bacterial small subunit ribosomal RNA", at positions 524 to 776 of the family's 1533-position model. The record is from RNAcentral.